AAAUGGAGAUACAUUAUACUGGUAAGUACAAAAAUAAUUCAUUUUUGAUUUAAUUUAUUAUCUUCCCUCCUUCCGAUGUGAUUAUAAACUAUAGCCCUCUCCAUCAAAUUUCCAGUUAUAGAAAUUUAAUGAUAGUCAUAUAAGUCAGCUGAAGUGUUAAUAUGCUAAACCGAACAGAAAAUUCCGAGAAAUCAGUACAAAAUUAUUUUAUUCGUAUAUUGGAAAUUUUAUUUCGCACGACUUUUAUGCAUUUAUUUUAUUGAUAACUUUAUUAAGCAAAAAAAAAAAAAACAAAACAUCCAUAAUACUUGCCUUUUUAACGGAAAAAUUCCAGGACAAUUCACUUUUGUCAACUUUAAAUAUUUAUUGACCGUUAAUUUCAACUUCCUUUGCAUGUAGAUAAUUUAAUACCUACCACACCACAUAUUUAAUCAGAAUUAUGAGAAUUUAACAAGUCAGGUAAUAGAAUUUAAUUGCCAUUUUACAUUUAGGAAAGAGAUUUGUCAGAAUCUUUAACAUUUAUAUCUGCAAGGUUCAUGAGUUUAUCGUAUUUAGAAGUUAUUUGGCGUGCGCAUACAUGUUAUUACUAUCAUAUAAGACUUACACAUUAUGGAAUUGUUUUUGUUGGUCUCCGGUCAAAUAUCUUUUUUGUUCGAUUAUGUAAUGGCACCCGACAUGGCCGGUAUCAGUACAUGGUCGGUAUCAGUAGCACAAGUAAAAAGUCACCAUAGUCCGUUGCUUGAAAUGAAAGUGACUCGGAAUAUUCAAUUUGGGAUUAUAGCCUAGUACCCUAAUGUUGAAACUAACUUGAUCAAAUUUUUUUUUUAACAUCUAUGACAUGAUUACAGUGUUAUUAUACCCUGUUGCCUAUUUAACCCUCGAGAUUUAACCCUUACUGUCUGUUCUUUGUUUAUAUGGGGAUGAGGUGUGAUCAGCUAUCCAUUUUGUGUCCAUUCAUCAUUAUAUUAUAUGCUAGUCUGAAAAAAAAAAAAACCAAUACAAAUGUACGCAUUUUCCAUUUAACGCGACAACCUGCAUCCAAUCUUCAACAUUACCCUAGUUGGUCUUAUGUUUAGAUAGGAUUGUUUUUCUCAUUAAAACCAUUGAUUUACACAAGUUAAUGCAAAAAUACGAAAUUUAGUAUUUGCAAUUUUAUUGAUUGUUCUCCCAAUAUUCGGCAACAGAUAUUUGAACAUAAAACGUAUAACUGGCAUGACUGGGAUAAAUAGUUUCCAGAUAAACGGAUACUAAAUUCUCACCCUCGAAUUGUCGAUUUUUGUCAUCAUUCUCAACCAAAUCAACAUUUCAGUCUGGUAGAGAGAUGUCUCAUAUUGACAAUGAUACCAAUCGUACCGCAUCUUUAUACAGCAUUUUCUCACUUUCCAACAUCAAAUUUCUUAAGCAUAUAUAUUUGCUAUGCAAAUGAACACUUUUAGUUGGAUAAUUUAAACGUUUUUUCCAAUUUUCUCAAGUUUGAUAUCUAAUGACAAAUUUGAGUUCAAACUUACGUAUCGUUAUUGACUAGUAUAGAUUUUUAAUGUAGAUUUUCGAUGAUUGUUUUGAAAGUACAGCAUAACAAUUACUGUUCAUAUUGAGACAGACUGAUCUUUGUCAUUUGCUCAAUGAACAUAUGCUUUUUUUGUGUGAAGAUUUAGUAAAUAUUUCUAAUUGUAGGCGUUAUCAAGAUGCUUAGUCACUCGUCAUAUUGUUGACAGUUACCACACACCUUUAAUUGAAUUAUAUACAUUUCUAUAUUAUGCACUUAUGUCUAGGAUUUAUAAUUCGUCACUGAAAAAUAUUAAGGAUGUUCGCUGCCCAGUUUCAAAGUAAAUAACUUUUCCAUAAAACUAGUAUGCAUUGAUAGGGAAUAAAUUGAGGAAUCAAAAAAGCAAAAAAAAAUAGGGGUCAAUGUGCUUGUUUUCGAGAUAUUAGCCAUUAGAAUUUUGGCGGGAAAAUGUUCUCUCUUGAUUUUUCAUAGUUUUACGUGUAUCAUUGACCAGUUAAAGUUCUCAAAUACUAUUAAAAAAUAAAUAAAAUUUUAUAAGACGUAUAAUUAUACAUAUAGAAGAUUUAUUAAAAGAAAAAUGGGGUGUUCAUGGGGAAAUUUUUUUUAAGGCAUUUAAAUGGAUAAAACCAGAGGAUUCCGUAAAUCUGACAAAAAUUCCCAAACAUGACAAGCAGACAUCCUUAACGUUUUACGGUUAGUAUUAAAGAAUUAGUGCGUUUUUCCCCAGUUAAUGCUGGAAAACAUUUGUAGAAAUGUGUACCACUAACAUUUUUUCAUUGUAAAACUGUACACCUUAUUUCUAUGAAAAAACUAUCAACACCCUCGUUCACAACUUGUUUUAUUUCACCACAAAACAGACAACAUUCUUGAGACAAUUAACUCUUCGUUAAACACUCGUUGAGAAUAUGUCUCAGAUGUGAUGUGCAAUCGGUUUGCACUCGGAGGUCUAGGUAAUGGGAUGAAAAUUAAAUUGCAUUUUCAAAUAAAAAUUAAUGUAUGAUCAUGAUUCAACUUACUAAGCGUGGAAUUAAUAAACAUGGGCAUGAGAAUUAACAGCAAACUUAUACUUUCUUGAUUAAUGUUUGUGCUAAGGUAUGGACUUUCGGCAAUGACUGUACAAAAAUACGAUAUUAGUACCCGAACACAUUAAAUCUUUGAUACUACUAAGGAAUGAACGACCUUGACUAUACAUAUGAGGGUAUCGCACGGUCGGUUAUAAACAUCUGGUUUGUCAAUCUAAUAUGCUAAAUCAUGGGUGGGGAAAACCAACUUCUCGAAAUUUCACUACUUCUACGGAAUAAAGGAGUAGGUCCGGUAAUGGCCGAUUUUGGUCUCAAACUUUAGGUUCAUCUGAUUCAAAAUUUUAAACACUUUUUACACACUUAAGUGUCUACUUUAGUCGAUUCAAUCAGUUUAAGUGAAAGAUUUAAACAGAUUUAGUCAUUAAAGACUCCAAAAUGCAUGCUUACCUAUGAAAAAUCUAUCAAAUAUGUCACUUUUCAGAUGGUUCUUGUCAAAAAUGAAAGUGGUCGCAUCCGUGUUCAUUCUCAACCUUUACAGUUUCUGUCUAAAAAUAAAAUCAAAUGCUAAAAUUAUUAUGAUUUCAGUAAUUUAGCAUGACUAAAUGAUGCUAGAACCCGAUACAUGUACAUGUUAUUGUUACUAACAGCCCAUAUUUAUGUAGUAGAAGUAUUUCUUCUUUCCAAUAAAUAGCUAAAAGUUGACAUUUAAACAAUUUUGUAAUUCUGCCAUACUAUAGGGCCAAACAGGGGUCUUACUGGGCCUACCCCUUCGUGACUAAUAUAUAAAAAAAUGUUUUGGUUAUAAUUGCACUAGUUGGAAAAUUAUUUCUUUACGGAUGCCAGCAGAAACGCACAUUGAUUGAAGGUGUAAUGCUGCUCAUUGACUGUCCAACUGUCGAAUGUCGCAGUCAGAAUUUACCAGACUCAUUUCUGGACUUGAAUAUAGAUAGGCGAAAAUCAUUCAACACCAGUGUACAUUAUGUAGAUUGGUACGUUUAGUACUUGACCACCCUGAAAUUGUCAACAUGUGGGUUCAUUACAUGUAUAUUAGAAAGAUCUGCAUAACUCUCCUUUUCUUCAAAAAAGUGUCAAAACCAAUAAUUCUCUUAACCAAGAUAUGAGUCAAAUAUUAGUAUACACAAACAUAAGAUAAGUGAGCUCAUUCCACUGUGAUAACAAAUAAACAUCUUCCUUCGUAAAAAAGAUAAAUUGACAUUUUUGUCAGCCUGCUGAUUAUUGACUUUUUUAUGUUGUUUUUUUUUUAUCUAUACUGGUAAUUACCGUAACAACAUUACUGGUGGCUCCAACCCGCCUGUAAUCGCUCACCUCACUUAAUAGUAACUUAAUUUCUACUGCAAAAUACGUAUUUAUAAAAUGAUUUACCUUUUCUUAUUCUUUAUUAAUGCAAGUUAAGACUUCGUUUCUUGUAUUCAUACAGCCUCCUUUUGACAUUGGUCGUCUAUUGUUCUCUCAGGCGAGAUUGUGCUAUUUUGCUGUGUUUUCUCCUGAUUUUGAGGAGUAUGUUGUCACAACUUUUUUGAGCUCAAUGCUCUUCAACUUUGUACUUGUUUGGCUUUAUAAAUAUUUCGAUAUGAGCGUCACUGAUGAGUCUUGUGUAGACGAAAUGCGCGUCUGGCGUAUUAAACUUUAAUCCUGGUGCCCUUGAUAACUAUUGUCAUAUCUAAACAGUUGUAAAAAUCUAGCAUUUACUCUUGCAUGUAAAAUAUAAUUUUCUGAAGUGACUUUUUUUUUACUUAUUUUAUCUGUUUGUUUAUCAAAAGUGAUACUUGUCAGCUAUCUAUAAGAACUGUUUUCUCUAUUCGUACAUUAGUUCGGUCAUGGAAGUAUUAUAUUAUAUCAAUAUACUACUGGCAUGGUUCGGCCAAGUUUUCUAACAACUAUAUUGAUGUGCCCUGUAAUCAUCUGAACAUGCUAAGUGUGUGUAUUAUUAGUGUGUUUUACGAUGAGAAAAUACUAAUUAUGAGUUCUUUGCCCUUUAUUGUUCAUAAUUAUUCCGGGUGAAUGACAGAUCUCCUUGCACUGUCUACAGCGUUUUUGAUAUCAAGAAAUAAUUCCGUGUAAACCAGGGCCUCACUGACUUUACUAUGAAGACCAAGAUUACCUUAAAAAACACUUUUUGCAAAGGGUUUUGUUAUAAGUUAUAAAAGAUUUGUGCCAUAUACUUCAUAUAUCAUCACAAAGUGCUAGAAAAUAAAUAUGCAAUGAAAAAGUUUGUUGUAUGAACUGUUUUCAAAGAUGGAAUCCAAAUCAUAUAUUCCUCACGGUGUUUUUUGGCAUAAUAAUUUUCCGCGGUGUCGGCCAUAUUGUAUUUUCUUAUCUUCUAUCGUUCUGUAUGAGGACCAUCGUUUGCAUGAUGUCUAUAACACUAACAUACAUCAAAGAUUAAACAACAUGAAUAACAUGGAUUACACCCAUGUUUGCAAAGUCAAAUUGCAUGACAAAAGACAGUGGAACAAAUCCCUCCACAAAGAACUACUUUGUAAAACUUAAGAUUAACAAAAAGAAUGAAGCAAAAACGCUACUAGGGACUUGUUCUUAACUUGUUUAAGGUACUACAGAAGUAUCAUAUGAUAAUGUGAUAGCCAUAGUAGAUAAUUAUUUGUGUUCAUGUAAAUGUCAUAAAGAAUGGAAACAAACAUGCUUAUCUUACUUUCCCAUCAAUUAAUGUCAAAAGUGAAGAGUAGCCAUGUAAAACAACAGAAGAAGCCUGUUUUGUAUUGCUUUUAAUUAUCGGAACAAACGCUAAUGCUGGUCAACUUCAUGUUUUCUGAAAGUUUAAAAACUAAAAAAAAAAACAUUGCCAAACAAUUUCUAAUCAAUAACAAAAUAAUUGUACUAGUCAUUCGUUUUACAUAAGAUACAUAGAAAUACCUUCUCGCGUGUAAAGAAAUAAGUUAACAAUAUAGCCGCCAGUUUGCUGAAUAGAAAAACAAUUUAUUGAAGAGAGAAACAUACAAGAAUGCUUUGAAAACAAAUUUAUCCUUUAAAAGCAUAUUGAAAUUUGAAAUCUUAUUCAUUGAUUUUUUUUAAACGAAUGGAGCCUGUAAUUCAGUAGUCGUCGUCUGUUGCUGUAAAUCAUAUAUUUGUUCGUUCAUUAUUUUGUAAAUAAAUCAGGCUGUAAGUAUUCUCGUUUGAAUUGUUUUUACAUUUGUCAUUUCGGGGUCUUUUAUAGCUUAUAUGCGGUAUGAUUUUUGCUCGUUGUUAAAGGUCGUAUGGUAUUUCUAUGUCAUUUGGUCUCUUGUGGAGAGUUGUGUCAUUGGCAAUCAUGCCACAUCUUCUUAUUCUUAAAUAACUGAAUUUGCUAUUCAAGUUUCUAAACCUUUUGACUUCAGAGUGUAUAUAAUUAUUAAAAUAGAGUUUGGAGAUACCAAAGAGAGAAUACAAAAAACUCACAAUGCAAAGAGAAAUCGACGAAAUCAAACAUGCAGUAUCAUCAUCUAUACCCUUAAUUGACGCUUGCUCGAUGUAACCUUACACAAAUAUUAAGAGGAACGGACUGAGUGUACGAUAAACAGUGUGACCAAUGUGAAUUCCGAUUGAAUACGCUGACUUUGAAGAGUUAACAACCUGUCUAUCGUUCUAAGUUAUCACUGCAUGAUAAUGAUGGUAAUUGGUGGGCUAUCUUCUAUCAAAAUAACAAAAUUACCCACUUCAAAAAUACAAUAAAUCAAGUGAUAAGACGGUUUGAAAACAAUGAUAGCACUACUUAUAACCGAUGAUAACAAAAGUUAAUUAAGGGUUGACACAUUAAUUAUCAAUUUUAAUUGACAAUUAUUCGACUUGUAUUACACAUUAUCCUUUACACACCCCAUCAUACCGAUAAGCUAUGUUUAAUAUCAUUUGCAUUUGGAGACGACAUACAUUUUAAUAGUCAAAGAUGCCAUCGCAUGCUCAUUUAUUUUAGCCCAAUCAGUCAUGUCAGUACAAAACACUGAAAGAUCAUUUACACAAUUAUCUGCAAAUUCGAAAUAUAGUUAGUUCUGAAAAUUCUAGAUAUCGUUCUGAAAAUUCUAGAUAUCGUAAUGAUUCAUGUACUAAAGUGUAAAAAUAAACGAUAAAAGGGCAGUUUAAGUUUCGAUAUAAAUUAAAAACAAUAAAGUACUACAUAACUUUUGGGCAUUUGCUAUCUGCUAACACGUGCAUAAGACUCAUAAAAUUGAUACAUUUUAUAAAGAGUGACAUGCAUAUCUUAGUGUACUAAUCACACCAGAGAGAAAAAAGCUGGCAACAUAACCAAGACUUCACCGGAAGAAUAAAAAGCAUCAACAUUAAGUUCUUCCGUCAGUUUAUUGUUAUUUCUUUUCAGCUACCUGUUAAGAGUAUCAGGCGGUGAUGUAUUAAUAUAAAGCACCAAUACACACAUUUUGGCAUUUUUCUGUUGAAGCAGAGUAACCGCACCCCUUGAAAACAAUGAUUCUCAUUUGUUCUUUUUUUAAUUGGAGCCUAAAAAGUAUGAGUAUGAUCGUUAUUUAAUAUUCAAACUUUUCUGAAGUUUAUAAAAAUAAUUAAGUACUUAUUUACCCUUCACCAGGAACGUCAAAACCCGAAUAAUUAAAAGCCUUAUUGAAUUGUUACAUUCAGUCUUAAGAUUUUUUGUGAAACUCACUUCAAAAAUUUAAAGAUGGAUAUACACGUUAGGAGCUAUAUAACCUAAAGGUUACCCCACCAUUAUCGUGCUGAAUAGUUGCAGGGUGGAAAUUAAUUGCGAUUGAGUAGGUAUAAGGGAGGUAUAUAAUACGAGAUGCACCUACAGUGGUAUAUAUAAAAUUUAGUCCUGGUAUCUAUGAUGAGUUUAUUUACAACCACUGGGUCGAUGCCACUGCUGGUGGAGAUUUAUUUUCCGCGAGGUAGUUCACAAGCCCAGUAGUCAGCACUCUUUGUGCUGACAUGACAUGAAUUAUCAUUGAUAUUGUUAGUUUUAUAAAUUAACUGUUUACAAAAUUUGAAUUUUUUGAAAUACUAAGGCUUUUCUUCCUCAGGCAUAGAUUACCUUAGCUGUAUUUGGCAACACUUUUAGGAAUUUUGGAGUAAUGCUCUUCAACUUCGUACUUUAUUUGACUUUUUAUAACUUUUUUGGAUUCGAUCGUCACUGAUGAGUCUUUUGUAGACGAAACGCGCGUCUGGCGUAUAUAUAAAAUUUAGUCCUGGUAUCUAUGAUGAGUAUAUUUAUUGCCUACUUAAAAUUCUAUAAAUAAAACAAUUGAAUAAAGGAGAAUGAAAUGUGUUCGGUAUUACAUCUACUUGAACGAUGCACAUGAUUCGCUGCUGUAUACCUUUUUUUUAAAGCGAGGUAAAAUCAAAUAUACACCUCGGAUAAAUGAGCCCUUUACAAUAAUACCUCCUGCUACUUGAUUGUUCUAGAAUGUAUAUCGCUAUAACAAAAUUGGUACAGAAAAAAGAAACUUAUCUUUAAGCUUCCACGCUUUUCAAACAAUCUGAAAUUAAUGACUCUCGUCAAACUGAAUUGAAUCAGCAGAUUUCUUCUUCCGCAAUGUUAAGGUUCUGUAGGCAUUCAAAUGAAGAUAGAGUAAUUCAUUAAAUGAGUGUAUAGGCUUGUAUGUAUUGAGAAUUAUUUGUAUCGCUUUUUGAAAUUUACAAAGAAUUGAUUUUUUUGUAUGCGGAUUGUGUCCUGUUUCCCUCCUAUCCUGCAAAUAUCAAAUCUUAAUCAAAACUUCAGUUCGCAACUAAUAAUAUCUUCUUCACGCACUUAUGUGACUUUCUGGUGUUUUUUUUUUCUGAUAGGAACCCUGCAAAAUAUGCUUUUUUUUGUCAAAAUUAAUCGAUAGUUUUGACUGAUAAUUAAAAGUGUAUUUUAUUGAUCGAAUGCUUUAUAGAAUGAUAAAGAACCCCGUGAUCAAAAUCAAAUUUCCAAUCUAGGAACUUAUUAUGUAAGGCAGAUUUUGUCAUAACACUGAUAACAUUUACCCUGACCACCCUAUAAAUCAUCAGUGAGUGACUUCUUGGUAUCAUAUUUUCAAGAUACAGGAAUUAUACAAUCAUAUCUUUCGUUUAGAAUUGCAAAUUAUUCCCUGAUAGAUGAAAAGAUGAAAACCAUAUGUAUUGUGAACAGAGUGACCCUUGAUCUAGCUGAUUAUAACGCAACACAUGGUACGAAUAUCGCCGAUAACAGUAUUACAUACAAACCAAGUACAACCUCCAACCUUUCAUGUUACGAAAAAAACAUUAAUCCAAUAAAAAGUUUAUCCUUAAUGUCGCACAAUGUUUUGAUAUUAUGCCCUUUCCUGAUCUUUCUUGUCAACCACACCUUGAAAUUUUCUUAUAAUUUUUGGAUUCAUGUAUUUCUGCAACACAAAUUUAUGUGUUUUAAAUAUAUGUCUUUGUCAAAAAAGAAUACAUGUACAUUAUUUUAAAAGAUAAGCUAUAUCAACCCUACAUGUAUCUGUGUUUGCAGUUUCCAAGAUUUGAUGUUUAACAAUAUUAUUUAACAAUUUUAUACAUUAUAUUUGAUUUUCAGACAUACUAGUAAAUGCAAAAUCUCAUUCGUUGUCAAAGCUUUGAUAUCUGUUAACAUGAUCGAAUUAUAUAUAUCGGUUUACAGUUGUUACAAUUCAAAGACCACAUGUGUCUCUAAGUAUUUUAAAAGUUGAUCCGACCACAAGAGCGUAUUACUAUCCCUUUACAAGAUUACACUGGCGGGAAAAUCAAAUAGAUCAAUUGGAACAAGAGAGAUGGGUCACAUUGCAGAAAAUGGACUUUGCAUUUUCUAUAAAUUUAUCUAUUACAGUUUCUAAGCUACAGUUAUAACAUAAGUAAAGUUGGUUAUCUUAUUAAAAGAAGGAAAUAAAGAUACGAUUGUCAAUGACACAAUAAAAGGAAAAAAAUGUAAACAACUAUCUUACUUUAUUUGAACACUUGAUAUGUGUUCUAAUACACAAACAAUAUAAAUCUGACAUUACUCUCUGUCAAAUCUUUCACCAAUAAAAAUCAGCCCCUUUGGAUUUCAAACUUGAAUCUUACUCUUUUGAUUUUAAUUAUUCUAUAGGACGAGCAGUAAACAGUUAUUCAUAUUUUUAUAGUUCUGUUUAUCAAUUUCAGAUUUCGUGUUUUUAUUAUUGUGCUGUAAAGGAUUCACAGCCCAAAGAAGUGGUGAGUAAACAUUUGCAUACACAAAUUACAAUAAAGCGCUGAUAUCAUUAUGCUCCUGACGAUAUCACCAACAACAUUAGUUGAUACUCGGGAAAGCACGUGGCAUUAGGUAAAAAAAAGGGGAAAACAGGAUCAACUUCAUGUUAAAGUAUAUACCGUAGCCAGGGGGGUUGGGGGGGGGUUCGGGGGGUUCGGACGACCCCCCCCCUUUAAAUCAAAUAAGCACUGUUAAAGUCAACGUUUUGUUCAAAUUGUGACUGUUAAAGUCCAGUUCAUGAGACCAACGAACCCCCCUUGGAAAUUCCUGGCUACGGGCCUGAUAAGGCCAUAUAUGAUAGCUCGAAAACAUAAUCCGACUUCCUUCACAUUAUUGACUAUUGACGUCUAUAAUAUGCCAUUGGUAAUAUGCAUGUUAAAUUUGCCACUAGACGUCAGCUAUGUAUUACCAUCAGCUAGUUUUACCGGUUUGAUUUAUUAAAAUUCAGAACCUUUUAUCAUUCAUCGUCAUGUUAUGUGAGUAAUCCUAUAUGUGACGGAGAGUAACACCAUGUACUGUAUUUUCUAAAGAAUUACUCCAAAGUCGAACAAUGCUAUUCCUGAGAGUUUUAAUAGACCGCUUACAUCAGCACGCCACCCUGGCCAGUGUUAAAUCAUUUAAAUCUUAAGACAUCAUUUACCAAUGCGAAUAAUUGAAAGUGUUGUUUUUUUAUUCUCCAUAUCAACUUUGUAACAGAAAACACAAAAAAUGUCAUCGAUCUUUUGCUAAUUGAUGUGCCUAUGAAACAAAUUACGUACAAAUUGCUAUUAAUUCAUUAUAUACUAUUACCAUCUUCAAGAUGUCUAGUUGCACCUGCAUGUUAAAGUAAAGCAUCUGGUAAUCUAAGAGCUUCACUAAAUAUAUUCUUAAAUAAUUUAUAAGAUUGAAAUCUAUCGCGAUUUUAAAGAGAUUUAUGAAAAAUAGAAAAAUAAUUAAUCAAAAAAUUGUAGAUAAAUAGUGUUACUAAUUAGUAACAUCUUCUGCUACCUAAAUGUAACCAUCGGUUUUAACUCACUCAUGUUGAAACCAAAAUGUAAGAUGUAAAUAAAAAUAAAUGUUUAAGAAAAACACAGAAAGUUUUGUCGCGUAUACUUCAUGGCGAGCUUGUCACUAAGUUUAUCGAGAUUCCGAGGUGGAUUUGACUGCAUUUUAUGAUCUCACAUAGAAAAAGAAGUUCUAUAUCAAUUAAACAGUAAUGAGUUAAGCCCUUUUAAACUGAUUUUUUUAGUUUGUUCUUAUGCUUUGCUUCAACACAAAUGUCCAAGAAUAAGCGGAAAGUUCAGCGCUCACGAACAUGUUUAAUCCUGACACAUUCUUAACGUGCAUCUCCAAAGUCUGUAAUUCAGUGGUUGUCGUUGUUUCGUGUCUGUCAUUUUUGAUUUUUCAUGAAUACUUUUGUUAUAAAUUAGACCGUAAAUUUUCUCAAUUGAAUUGGUUCACGUUUACAUGUCAGGACUGUUUAUAGCUGAAUUUACGGUAUUUUUUUUUCUCAUUGUUGAUGGUCGUACGGUGACAUUUGAUUGCUAUCUUCAUUUUAACUUUGAUGGAUAAAUACACCAAUGAUAUAAUCAUUAAAAUGCUGUUUUUUUAAUCGAUAACUUAUUUGUUAAGUUGGUGGAAUGCAUACUAAUUAUGCCUCACUACUGGUCGACAAGUAUGCAGAAUUCAUUCAUUAUCUCCUCACAAUCAGAAAGGAAAACAUUUUGCAAAGUUCAUCAAUUUCAGUUUCAGAGAUAUGGAUGAAGUUUUGUCUCUCACUAACCCACUUUGAAAUGAGUUGCUUACAUGUCAUAUAUCCCAGUGAAUUUGAAAUUAAGGAUACUAUUGAAUUCAAAGUGGUAGGUCUUCUUCAUCUGUUAAUCUCUGUAUCUAUGAUGAGUUUGUUCAUAUCUUGAUAUUUUUUUUUAAAUUGACACCGAUGGACGACCUCAAAUAAUAACUUAUGAAUAGCGUGAUGAUUUCUAUUUUCGAAAUCGCUAAUUCCCCAUACCCCAUGCAGGAGUAACAUUACCUCUGCGCCAUCAAAACGCUGUCACACAUCUCAGUUGACAUCUCAGUUCACAUGUUUCACAUUUGUAUAUGUUAACAGGGAUGUAAUCCUUACACGAAAGACAUAGUUGUAUGGAAGAACGAUAGCAAUCAAAACUACACAAUAUUUACGGUAACAAUCACCAAUUGGUUGACCGAUAAGAUUUUUCGAAUCUCAACUCAUUAUAGAUAUAUACUUAGCAGUCUUAGUUUUUUUAGAUAUCAGUAUGUUCAUAUGAUGUUUAAAUUUAAUGAUGAUGUCCUAUUUCAGUUUGUGAAAUGUUUACUGAGUAGGAGUUCGCAUGGUGUGUGAUGCAAGUAUAACAGGAGACGCUUUGGCUUUCGAUGCACACUUAAUUUCUUUUGAAGUUCAAUCGAUGUCAUCAGUUUUUGAUUGUUACCAUGAUUUGUCUCUUCCUUAUCACUUUACUAGAUUUAAACAUCGGUUAACUACUGUUGCCUUAAUUUGUCUCUUCCUGAUCACUUUACUAGAUUUAAACAACGGUUAACAAUGUUGUUACUUAAACUAUUGAUCUUACAUUUACUAGAUUUAAAAUCGGUUAACUAGUGUUGCCUUAAUUUGUCUCUUCCCUAUCACGUACUAGAUUUAAACAUCGGUUAACUAUGUUGCCUUAAUUUGUCUCUUCCUGACUCACUUUACUAGAUUUAACGGUUUAAAUCGGUUAACUAUUGUUGCUCUUCUGAUCACUUUACUAGAUUUAAACAACGGUUAACUAUUGUUGCCUUAAUUUGUCUCUUCCUUAUCACUUUACUAGAUUUAAACAUCGGUUAACUAAUGUUGCCUUAAUUUGUCUCUUCCUUAUCACUUUACUAGAUUUAAACAUCGGUUAACUAUGUUGCCUUAAUUUGUCUCUUCCUGAUCACUUUACUAGAUUUAAACAUCGGUUAACUAUUGUUGCCUUAAUUUGUCUCUUCCUGAUCACUUUACUAGAUUUAAACAACGGUUAACUAUUGUUGCCUUAAUUUGUCUCUUCCUGAUCACUUUACUAGAUUUAAACAUCGGUUAACUACUGUUGCCUUAAUUUGUCUCUUCCUGAUCACUUUACUAGAUUUAAACAUCGGUUAACUACUGUUGCCUUAAUUUGUCGCUUCCUUAUCAAUUGAACAGAAUAAAAGAUGUUGAGGACGGUAAAAGUGGAGGUUUGUGGAAAAUCUGGUUUAUGAUGUAAAGUGGUAUAUAUAUUUUUUUUAUUAAGACUCAGUUUUUUAUUACAACUGAUAUAAUUAUCAUUGUGAAGUAAGAAGUAAGUGGAGCUCAAAGUCCCAAAAAAGGUUAGGGAACAAAACAUGGUGUCUGCGCUGACACCACAAGCCCCAGGCAAUAUAUGAUAUUUGAGUGGAGAGACAUUGAACAGAGAUGGAAAGAAUAAAAUAUUAACAAGACCUUCAAUGAGCAGCUGGUAAAAUUACAGAUAGAAUAAGCUAUUGCUCCAACGAAUUUUACAAUGAUUCAUUGAUAAGGUUGAAUUGACAAUAAGAACCGAAUUAUAAAUCCAAAACUGGAUUUUUCAGACAUAUGAAUAGCAAAAUCAAGAAAGUGUACAAGUAAACAUAAAAUUCAUUUGAGAUUGAAAUAUUUAGUUCCUGUCAUGCCUUAAAAAGUUAUCAAAUGUACCAGGCUUAUAAUUUUAUACGCGUUUCGUCUACAUAAGACUCAUCAGUGACACUAAGAUCAAAAUUGUUAUAAAGCCAAACAAGUGCAAAGUUUGAAUGGAGAGACAUAGAAUAGAGGUGGUGGGAAUGUGAAUAAGACCUUCAACGAGCAGCUGAAGAAAUUACAGAAAGAAUAAGCUAUUGCUCUAACUAGUUUUACAUUGAUUCAUUAAUAAGGUUGAAUUUACAAUAAGAACCAAAUUAUAAAUCCAAAACUGGAUUUUCAGACAAAUGAAUAGAAAAAUUCAGAAAAGUGUGUUUUCUGAAACAUUAAAUGCAUUUGAGACUUAAUUAUCUAUAGUUCCUGCCAUGUCUUAUAGCUAUUCCAAGUGCACAGGUGUGUCUGUAAAUUCGACCCUAUUAGCAAAAAGAUUAUGAUGAACAUUAAAAAUAGUAAACACGACGUUUUUGAUUAUUGUACACCUAAAGUCAGACAUGCUUUCGAUAACUUUAUUCUGUUUUGCCUUCGAUGAUUGUAUACUGUCUUUGAGCAAUUGUUCCAUUGUCGAUUUUUUAAAAAGGCAUACUCAUAAUUUGAUAAGACAAUUGAAAGUUCAAGUGAAACCUUGACCCCAAUUUUGAAUGUUUCGAAGAGCUCAAAAGAGUGUUUUAUAUUCGUAUUCUGUACUUGGAUGUUUACUUUUAUUGGAGUAUUCAAACGAUUUCUUUUCAUACAUUUGAUAGUUACGUGAUGGUAAAAAUAUACAUAUUUUAUUGAAAAUUAAUUCAAAGAUGCAGAAUAUACCGAGGGGGGGGGGGUUAGAAACAUAAGAACAACAGUUUGCAACAGAAAUUUAAAAAAAAAACGUAGAAACAAACCACUAAUGAGAAAACUUAAGAUUGAUCAGCACAAACCCAAUUACUCCGGGCGGAUCAACAGUUCUUACACCCGUCAUGAUACUCCUGUUAGAAUACUUUGAUGUAUCCUAUCAUGUGAUUACGCACCAUACAAUACAUAUGGCGAUUUCGUUAAUGUCUCUUGUUUAAUCCUAAACCAUCUUUAAAUGGUAAAUUCUGUUAUUUUAACUGUUGACCAAACAUGAUGAUUCGACAUGCAAAUUUUCUUGGUAUAGACACUGACUUCCUGGCUUUACGUGAGAAGAAUGCAGAAACAUGUUAACAUAAUCACAAUUUUUAUGAAUAUAACCAUCUAACAUUAAAAUAAAUAAAAAGCACCUGCGUACAUUAAUAGAGUUUAAAACCAAAAUUAAAACUCGUUUUGAUAAAACACGGUCGCUAUCAGAAAUACAGCUGUGCCCUGUGUUUUUCACAGAACCUUUUCUCCCAUUGGUCCUUGAAAAGUGGUAACUGAUAUUAAAUUGACUUCAUUAAAAAAGGAACUUGUAUCAAGUGAUUGACUCUGGAAUUGCAUUUCCUGUAAUCUAUCAUUUGUGUCAACACCUACAAAAGUUUUACAUUUUUUUUUACAUAAUAAGAUUUGUUAUCUCGCAUUAUGUAAACCUUUAGGUGUUUUUACAAACAUUUAUUACAUAUUUAAGAGAUAACUAUUUGUCUCACAAGUAAACUGUGCAUGCUUACUACCUACAUUAACAUAGCAGUCCUCAAGAAUAAUGUUUUAUAAAUUAAUGCAAAGUUUGGCGUGUAUAGCUAUGAGGGGUACGGUGGUAAAAUUCCUUAAAAUUGGGUUCAUUCUUUUCAAUAAUUAAAAGAAGUAUACUUGAUGUAAAAAAUAAUGAUAUAUGAAUAAUAAUAGAAAAAUACUCGUCAUCGCAUGGAUUACCAUCAUUUGUUUUUUUUUAUAUAAUAUUAUGUGCACUUGAGUAUAUCAUUUCGUCAGUUGAUGUCUCACCUUACGAUCGUCAUCCCAUAUACCAGAACCAUGUAAUUCUUUCAACCACUUUGCUUUGCUGCACCGUCAUUGAUGGUCUUUUGGAGUCAUAUAAAAAAUGUCAAAAUGUCAUUUAGAAUUUGCAAAAAAAUCCUGAUAUGGAGGUAUAAUACUCUCAAACAUCGGCAUACGUAUAGAGAGAUGUUAAAUAUGUUUCAAACUGUUUGUACUUUGUAUCUUAUUGUUGCCGUCUGAAAUGGCUGGUAUUGCACUUUGCUACUUGUGAGCCAAUUUUCUGUAAAAUGAACAUUCUCCUUAUUCAUUUUUUCUCUAUAUUUCUUAAUAUUUACAGAAAGUCCAGGUUCACUGACACUUUCUGAUCAACCAGAGAUAAGUGAUUCUGUACCUCCAAGAUGUUGGAAUUUCACUUAUGGAGACCCGUCUGAAAUGGAGUUUUUUAGUCCGAACUUUCCUAGCAAUUAUUCUACGAACCUGAAUUGUGCCCGUUAUAUUGAAG
RNAcentral lists this long non-coding RNA (15702 nucleotides) under Mytilus galloprovincialis (Mediterranean mussel). The record is from RNAcentral. Lineage: Eukaryota; Metazoa; Mollusca; Bivalvia; Mytilida; Mytilidae.